UUGCAGAUCAUGGGUGAUUCGCUCGGAUGCUUUAUAACCAGGAUUGCAGUCCAUGCUCUGGAGCUACAAUUCACUGAGCGAGGGCUAGUGAUGAUCCACGGCUCUCGCUUCAAAACUGCAACAUGACAAAACAGCCCUAAAUGAUGAUCACUACAAAUCACCUUGUUAUGACAUCUCUGUGCUCUGGAGGCCGAGGAACUGGCUUUGUACUUGUGGCAAAGAUUGUGUGUGAGUAACAUCUUGUGAUUCUGAGUCAAAACCAAACACUUUUACAUCCUCCUGCACCCCCUUGCUCUGAGUGUCAGGGCUAAAGCGCUAAAAUGGAGAAAAAUGCACCUUGCCCUCAUAUUGAACGCAUAAAUCAUCAGAGCAUGGAGGCCUUGACUGCUGUUUCCUUUCCCUCUAAUGGAUCCCUCGUUCCACACCUCUUCUCCUUCAGCUGAGGAUCAGUAAGAUUCAGUCAGCUGGGUGUGAAAAACACCCUGGGAGAUGAUCAUUAUCUAGAUCAUCCUAGUUCCCAGAUGCUCUGAGUAAAUUGGUAUAUUCUGUGUUUUUAGCUCAUACAUUUACAUGCUGUCCUAAGAUGGUACAAAAUAUAUGUUAGUUUUUCUAGGGAGGAAAAAUAUUU
Carassius carassius (crucian carp) is the source of this 628-nucleotide long non-coding RNA. RefSeq lists it as uncharacterized. The record is from RefSeq and is a predicted model, not a curated record. The transcript is spliced from 3 exons. NCBI's taxonomy places the organism in Eukaryota, Metazoa, Chordata, Actinopteri, Cypriniformes, Cyprinidae.